AAAACGGAGAGUUUGAUCCUGGCUCAGGAUGAACGCUGGCGGUAUGCUUAACACAUGCAAGUCGAACGGUGUCUUCGGACACAGUGGCGGACGGGUGAGUAACGCGUGAGAAUCUGGCUCUAGGUCUGGGACAACCACUGGAAACGGUGGCUAAUACCGGAUGUGCCCUUGGGUGAAAGGUUAACUGCCUAGAGAUGAGCUCGCGUCUGAUUAGCUAGUAGGUAGUGUAAUGGACUACCUAGGCGACGAUCAGUAGCUGGUCUGAGAGGACGAUCAGCCACACUGGGACUGAGACACGGCCCAGACUCCUACGGGAGGCAGCAGUGGGGAAUUUUCCGCAAUGGGCGAAAGCCUGACGGAGCAAUACCGCGUGAGGGAGGAAGGCUCUUGGGUCGUAAACCUCUUUUCUCAGGGAAGAACACAAUGACGGUACCUGAGGAAUAAGCAUCGGCUAACUCCGUGCCAGCAGCCGCGGUAAUACGGAGGAUGCAAGCGUUAUCCGGAAUGAUUGGGCGUAAAGCGUCCGCAGGUGGCAAUGUAAGUCUGCUGUUAAAGAGUCUAGCUCAACUAGAUAAAAGCAGUGGAAACUACAUAGCUAGAGUACGUUCGGGGCAGAGGGAAUUCCUGGUGUAGCGGUGAAAUGCGUAGAGAUCAGGAAGAACACCGGUGGCGAAGGCGCUCUGCUAGGCCGUAACUGACACUGAGGGACGAAAGCUAGGGGAGCGAAUGGGAUUAGAUACCCCAGUAGUCCUAGCCGUAAACGAUGGAUACUAGGCGUGGCUUGUAUCGACCCGAGCCGUGCCGUAGCUAACGCGUUAAGUAUCCCGCCUGGGGAGUACGCCGGCAACGGUGAAACUCAAAGGAAUUGACGGGGGCCCGCACAAGCGGUGGAGUAUGUGGUUUAAUUCGAUGCAACGCGAAGAACCUUACCAAGGCUUGACAUGUCGCGAAUCCUGGUGAAAGCUGGGAGUGCCUUCGGGAGCGCGAACACAGGUGGUGCAUGGCUGUCGUCAGCUCGUGUCGUGAGAUGUUGGGUUAAGUCCCGCAACGAGCGCAACCCUCGUUUUUAGUUGCCAGCAUUAAGUUGGGCACUCUAGAGAGACUGCCGGUGACAAACCGGAGGAAGGUGGGGAUGACGUCAAGUCAGCAUGCCCCUUACGCCUUGGGCUACACACGUACUACAAUGCUCCGGACAGAGGGCAGCAAGCAUGCGAAUGCAAGCAAAUCCCGUAAACCGGAGCUCAGUUCAGAUCGCAGGCUGCAACUCGCCUGCGUGAAGGAGGAAUCGCUAGUAAUUGCAGGUCAGCAUACUGCAGUGAAUUCGUUCCCGGGCCUUGUACACACCGCCCGUCACACCAUGGAAGCUGGUAGUGCCCGAAGUCAUUACUCCAACCUUUCGGGGAGGAGGAUGCCUAAGGCAGGACUGGUGACUGGGGUGAAGUCGUAACAAGGUAGCCGUACCGGAAGGUGUGGCUGGAUCACCUCCUUUUU
Molecule: ribosomal RNA, 1491 nt
Filed under: Nostoc sp. UIC 10630
Lineage: Bacteria; Bacillati; Cyanobacteriota; Cyanophyceae; Nostocales; Nostocaceae
Also listed under: 1 other name
Description: bacterial SSU rRNA
Rfam family: Bacterial small subunit ribosomal RNA
Source: RNAcentral